GAUGAACGCUGGCGGCGUGCCUAAUACAUGCAAGUCGAGCGAACAGACGAGGAGCUUGCUCCUCUGACGUUAGCGGCGGACGUGUGAGUAACACGUGGAUAACCUACCUAUAAGACUGGGAUAACUUCGGGAAACCGGAGCUAAUACCGGAUAAUAUAUUGAACCGCAUGGUUCAAUAGUGAAAGACGGUUUUGCUGUCACUUAUAGAUUGAUCCGCGCCGCAUUAGCUAGUUGGUAAGGUAACGGCUUACCAAGGCGACGAUGCGUAGCCGACCUGAGAGGGGGAUCGGACACACUGGAACUGAGACAAGGAACAGACUCCUACGGGAGGCAGCAGUAGGGAAUCUUCCGCAAUGGGCGAAAGCCUGACGGAGCAAAGCCGCGUGAGGGAUGAAGGUCUUCGGAUCGUAAAACUCUGUUAUGAGGGAAGAACAAAUGUGUAAGUAACUAUGCACGUAUUGACGGUACCUAAUCAGAAAGCCACGGCUAACUACGUG
This 497-nucleotide ribosomal RNA is filed under the name uncultured bacterium. RNAcentral describes it as "partial 16S ribosomal RNA". It matches the Rfam family "Bacterial small subunit ribosomal RNA", at positions 28 to 507 of the family's 1533-position model. The record is from RNAcentral.